This 253-nucleotide ribosomal RNA is filed under the name uncultured bacterium. RNAcentral's name for it is "partial 16S ribosomal RNA". It matches the Rfam family "Bacterial small subunit ribosomal RNA", at positions 524 to 776 of the family's 1533-position model. The record is from RNAcentral.
UACGUAGGUGGCAAGCGUUAUCCGGAUUUACUGGGUGUAAAGGGCGUGUAGGCGGGACUGCAAGUCAGAUGUGGAAAUUAUGGGCUCAACCCAUAACCUGCAUUUGAAACUGUAGUUCUUGAGUGAUGGAGAGGCAGGCGGAAUUCCGUGUGUAGCGGUGAAAUGCGUAGAUAUACGGAGGAACACCAGUGGCGAAGGCGGCCUGCUGGACAUUAACUGACGCUGAGGCGCGAAAGCGUGGGGAGCAAACAGG